Tympanuchus pallidicinctus (lesser prairie-chicken) is the source of this 4581-nucleotide long non-coding RNA. RefSeq lists it as uncharacterized. Lineage: Eukaryota; Metazoa; Chordata; Aves; Galliformes; Phasianidae. The record is from RefSeq and is a predicted model, not a curated record. The transcript is spliced from 2 exons.
AGAAAAAUUGCCCUACAAAGUACGCGUUUGGCUUGAACCAAGGUUUCCGUCUAGCAUCAUCCUUGUAGCUUCCAGUCCACACUGAAAAUAGCACUUAUGCAAGAUGAUGUUCUUUAUACAGUGCCUGCACAUAUUUCUCUGCAUUACCCAUACAGAGGGAUUUACAGGUGUGUGAGAUUCAUUACUAACAGCUGUAGCAUCAAGUCUCUCCACUGAAAGGACAGGACUCCUAACUUAAGUAGAAGACUAAUUAUGCUGAAGAACUACUUUAGGUGAAGUAACACAGGUGCUGUACAAAGCCAUGAGGAGCCAGGAGCCUAGAGUGGGUAGGGAGAAGAUGGGGCAAGAGCUGAUGUCCCUUACUCUAUCUCAAAAAUAGAACAGCCUCAGGAGCACUAAAACCAAUGAUCAAAUCAUAGCUGUGAUCUUAAUCUCCUUAAAUGUAGUGCUCCUCUCAGACAGCUUGAGUAGGUGACAGUUAACCCCAAAUAAGGGUUGUCUAUUUCUUGCUCUCAAAUGUCUAAAAAGUUAAAGCGUUGUAUUUCUUCAUUCUGCUGGCUCUUGGCAACUUCUUCCUGCAGUCACAAAACCCUUGAAAGUGAGGAACUCACAUCAGAGUUGUAUGCCUCCACUGCAACCAGCUCUUGUAAGUCUCCUUGAACUUUCUGGUUUCACAGACAAUUUGCUCUAAAAUUUUCACAUGCAAGUACAUGAUAUGAAGGUAAAUUAAGUAAUACUAAAAUUAGAAAAUUGAGAUUCAAAAAACUUUUAGAGAUUUUUUUUAACCAAGUAAGUCCUUUUUCUUAAAGAUACUAAGGCCAGGAAAUUACCUACCUAAUUGUUUCUGUGGGGGUGUUAAAGUGCUAAAUUGGCCAUACCUUUUUUUUGCAAGGAAAUUAAUUACUAAAAUCAUAUUGUACCACAGAUUCCAAACUGCCAGAAGCACGAGAUAGGAAGCAAUUUAGCAAUGGAGCAAUCACCUUGGACCUGUAAAUCCUUUUUCCUGUUAAGACCUCCACAUCAGUAUUGGACUUGCAUAUCAAAACUUUAUUUAUCCAGUCCCACGUAUGGAAUCCUUUUGGGUGCAUUUUUAAAAAUUUCCCACCACUUGCAAUUUCCUGCUUCCCCUUUCUUGUGUUUGUAUUCUCUAGUAGUUCACUCUCCCACAUAGUGAAGGUCAUUGUCUCACAACAUAAAGAUAUAGACAGCUGGCUUUAAAGUAACGUACAUCUGACUCCAUGAGGCUUGUAUCAACAAGCUCUGCUAUUAAAAGAGUAGUAGUCCCAGAUUUACUCGUGCCCCUUUUGAAGGGAGAUUAAAAAAGAAGUCACCUUCUGCUUAAAAAAUGCACGUUUUCGUAUGCCAGAUGUUUCCUUUUUUUGCUACCUCCCUCACAAAAUACACCCAUCCCAAACACGACACUUGCCUUUGCUGAGGACUGCAUAGGUAUAACAUGCUAAUAGACUCCUUCUCUUUCCUGCUCUGCAAAAGCUGACACUUAUCUGUCUCCUUAAAUGCCUUCUAACAAAACUACUUUCUCCUUGGAAUCAGUGAAGAACUUGAGCCAAAACUCAUAGUCCCAUUCUGAAAUCAGCAAGGAAAAUGCCUCGACAAAGCCAACUGGUGCAAGUUCUCACAGGGACUUUCAGGUAGAAAGGAAUUUAUUUGCUGAGAGUACCACUCAUAGGAAGAAAGCCCCACUAUGCCAGUACUUGGAUUCUCCAUUCAGGACUUCUGUCCUUCCUCCCCUUAGCCCAGCGGUGGUGCUCAGCCCCUCUUCCGUGGUAAGACAGAUACCAUAGAAUCAUUAAGACUGGAAAAGACCUCUAAGAUCAUCUAGUCCAACCCUCCACCUACCACUAAUGUUUCCCUACGAAACCAUGUCCCACACAGUUCUUGAAUACCUUGAGGUAUGGUGACUUCACCGCCUCCCUGGGCAGCCUGUUCCAAUGCAUCACCACUCCUUCUGAGAAAUUUUUCCUAAUCUCCAACCUGAACCUCCACUGGCACACUUAAAGCUGUUACCUCUCACUACCUAGGAGAGGAGGCUGACCCCCACCUCACCACAACUUCCUUUCAGGUCACUGUAGAGAGCAAUGAAGUCUCCCUUGAGUCCUCUUCUCCGGACUUGAACAACCUCAGUUCCCUCAGCUGCUCCCCAUAAGACUUGUGCUCCAGACCCCUCACAGCUUUGUUGCCCUUCUCUGGGGGCACUCCAGCACUCACAGGCUUUCUUCAGGUCAUCACAUGCUCUCUCCCUCAGUAGCUUGUAUCCACUGGGAGGUUUUUCAGAUGCUUCUAGUCAGAUGGUAAGUAAGCAGGUACCCACACACUAAACAAUCUCUAGAUCCCUCCCAGCUACCAGAAAAAGAGAUAUUUUAGCCUUAAAUUGAACAAGCUCACUUUAAGUAUCUUUUUGUGAUUUUAAAAUAAUAAAACAGAUUAAUAGCCUUGCUACUUGACAUUUUAUGGCCUUCUGUUUGCACAAUAUGCAUUUACAAUUUGUUAGAUUGCCUUCUUGAGAAAGCGCAUGUGUCAAAGUACAUUUUGAGAAGGUGAUGGGAGGUGCAGACCUGUCUCCCUGCAUUUGUGUUGGUGAGGAAAUUAUUACCAUGGGAGGAGGUUUUUCCUCUCAGUUGUUACCAACUGCUGUGCUUUAAAUAUGCAAAUUGUCUGGUAGCUUUUGGGGUGUCCCUGAGUUUGAGAACUAAGGGAGCACUGCAGCACUGCAUAGCAGCAGUGGCUGUGCAGGGUUGUCGCAACUGUUUCAAUGCUCACAUAAGAACAUGGUAGAAAACCACCUUGUAUUCAGUCUAAGCUAUGUGACUGUCUCCAAGACAACUGCAAGAGAAGAUGAACAUUUGUGCCAAUGACUGGUGUUUAUAGUCCAUAAGAAUUCAAGGUGAGAAAUGUGCUAAACUGCUGAGAGACUUCAAAGACUUAGCAACCACCAUCAUGUUACCUGCAAAACACUGUCAGCAUGUUAUUCCUUCCUAUCCAUUUACUGUCAGUUCUGUCAUUCAGGGAUUUGCUUGCUUAAAAAAAACAUAGCUUGACAGAAGAAGUACUGCCUGGAGACUACUGAGCAGAAACCUUGUGUAAAUCCCUGGAAGCAGAAGCAAGAAUUUAUCCUUGUGAAAAUUCAGAGUAGCUGGCACCAAACUCAAUCUUCAAGCUACCUUUAUCCCAGCUUUGUUGGCUUUUUAGAACACAAGGAAUAGAAAUAGAGAAAAAUGCUGCAUGUCUGAACUAGUGUAAUUGCUCACUCCUAUAUGUAAUGUAACAUUGACUACUAUAAAAGAAGAAACAUUGAACAGAAUUUAAUGGAUUGAAACAGAGCUAUCCCCAGAACUCCAUGAAAUCCAUACGCUGUGCCUGUGUGCCCUGAGCUCAUAGUCUCUGAAUAGCUUGUUAGAAUAUCAUGGGGAUAAAUGGUUUGUUCCAAAAUACAUCAGUGUGGUUUUGUAAAUAAAUUCUCUCCGUUUCAAAUUACAAUGACAAUUAGUUCUCUUUCUGGUAGAAAAAUAUUUUCAAUAACCACCUGCUUCUUUCUAGGCUAGUUGUUUUUCCAGCAAGCCACAGCAACAAAGGCAAUAGGUCUUCUUCAGAGAAUUCAUUGAGGAAAGCCAGCACAUCUGAAGAAGACAUGCUCGUGAUUGUAAUUUGGUGCCUGUAAUCUAAGUCUGUGUUUUCCCUAGGCUCACUUGUCCUAUGAAAUGCCUUGAAUUUGAACUCAAGAAUCCUUUUCAUAAGGAAUUAUCAUUCCGACAGCUUGCAUUCAGUCUUUAGAAAUGUAGCACUUUGCAGUCAGACCAAAUGUUAAACAUCACUGAAGGGCUUUCACAAAAAAAAAAAAAAAAAAAAGUGGAAUUACAUUCAGACAAAAGGGAGGGUGAUGUUAAUGCAUUGCCUGCAAUAUUAAUUGCAGGAAGUAAAAGAAAGCUCAUAUCGUGAGGUAUCAGUUCAUAACUCAUCCCUGAAGUCUUGCUUGUGGAGCACAGAGACAGGAAGAGUUACAAGGAGUGCCCUAGGAAAUGCAGUUAAUGCACUUAAAAAUGUGCAGCAUGUACAAUAACUAUGCACUUAGAUUGUUAUAAUAGUAAAUAAAAUAGUAAAGUAGUAAAUUUUGGAAAUGAUCACUCCAGCUGGAGCUGGACUGAGAUGGUGCUCUUCUCAGGCACCCAGGACAAAAAAACAGGAUCAGAGGAAGGCUGAGAAGAAAGGAGGGACAGAAAGAAAAGGGAAGGAAUACAGACUGGCACUCUAACUUAGCUCUUUGGAAGCAUAUUCAUUCUUUGUUUGCCUUACUGUAAGGGUCAAAAGUUUAUUGAAAAAUAAGGCCAUCCUGGAGUUCCUAAGCAUGCAUUCAUGUGACAGUCCAGAAGUGUAUCCAAGGACUGUCUCGCAGUGGAGGAUGUGGUAAGCCCAGCAUGAAUGACCUGUUGAACUUCGGGUGUUUCAGAAAGCUUUCGAGUGUACUUAUUUUCGUAUGUUUGCUGGUAGAAAGACUGGAAAAAAAAAAUCUUUGCUCUGAGGAGUGAAAGUUUUUGUUUUUUCCUCCCCCCUCCCCCCCCCUUUUUU